GAUUAUAAUCUGCAUAUAAGAAACAUGUAAAUGUUAGAGAUACAUAUGUAAAAUGGAACUUUACAGUAUUUCCAGCAACAAAGGAUGAUGAGACCGGUCACUCUAUCUGCGUUAAAAAGGCAAAGCUGAGCUUAUUGAGGAUUGUAGUAAAAUAAACAAAGGGGAAUUAUGCACAAGCACAUUGCCUCUGCCUAACAGCAGAUUGCUUCCUUGGGUCGUUUUUGUUGUUUGUGUUGGAAAGCGCGGAGUUCGGGGCUUGGGCUUUUCACAGGGGUGAGCAGACCCGAUUUCAGCGGUGCUAGCCUGGCCACUUGAUGGGUCGUUGGGACGGUUUGUCGGUUGGAUACUGAGGUGAGUCUAUUGGCCUGAGUCUUGUCCCUGAUUGGCUGGCUUCCAGAAGGCCAGGUUGAUUGCUUGGCUUGUAAAAACACGUUCACCAGGUCGAUCCUUUGGUUUAAAAUGAGUUCCGAUGGCUCCUCAUGAUCAUGGCUGCAGGGCAAUCCACCUUUUCCAAAAUUUGUGGCAGUUUUUUCAUUACUAGUUGAGCUCACACAAAUGCCCUUUGCUGCAACUCCAUUUCAUAAUCACGCAAGUGCAGAUGUGUAGACAAGGAUAUUCACCGUAAACAACUGGAACGAGGUUUGGCAAGCCUGGGUGACCAGCCUACCUAGGGCUCAUCCUGAGGCCGAACUGUCCUGCCGGGGGAUCACACUUGGUGAGGAGCGGCGCUCCCAGCAUGACCUGCGGCCCACAGGCAGCCGGAAGAAGGUGCUACAAGAACAAAAUAUUCGCACCGCUGUGUGUGUUUCCUCUCUUGGAUGGGGGUGGGUGGAUUAAGUAGGCGGAUUUAUACAUUUGUAUCUGACUCCCCACAGUGACCCAGGUACUCCACGGGUGCUGUGAAAAAGCAGAAACUACAUACCAGUAAAAUGAAGCAAGUACAAGUCAGCAAGCCCGUGCAUCCGGGGACAAUUAUUGUUAACAUUUUGAGGCACAUACUCUAGAUAUUUUUCUCUCUACCGCUACAGACGUUUAAAUUUGCUUUUAUUUUUAUCUUUUUACAUUUUUUUUAAACGUG
This 1078-nucleotide long non-coding RNA is filed under the name Felis catus (domestic cat). Its description in RNAcentral is "lncRNA (ENSFCAG00000047867.1)". The record is from RNAcentral. Lineage: Eukaryota; Metazoa; Chordata; Mammalia; Carnivora; Felidae.